Molecule: small nucleolar RNA, 136 nt
Organism: Cavia porcellus (domestic guinea pig)
Lineage: Eukaryota; Metazoa; Chordata; Mammalia; Rodentia; Caviidae
Source: Ensembl
CUGGCCCUGAAUCAACAGGGCCUAAAACACCUUCCUGAUGCUGUUGGUUUUAAGCAGAAGAGAUAUCUUUCUAUGGUCUGUUGGCCAUUUCAGAACUUGGGCAGUGAAAUGAUCAAUUCAUUAGACAGAAACAGCU